CCUACGGGGGGCAGCAGUGGGGAAUAUUGGGCAAUGGGCGCAAGCCUGACCCAGCAACGCCGCGUGAAGGAAGAAGGCUUUCGGGUUGUAAACUUCUUUUCUCAGGGACGAAGCAAGUGACGGUACCUGAGGAAUAAGCCACGGCUAACUACGUGCCAGCAGCCGCGGUAAUACGUAGGUGGCAAGCGUUAUCCGGAUUUACUGGGUGUAAAGGGUGUGUAGGCGGGAAAGCAAGUCAGAUGUGAAAACCAUGGGCUCAACCUGUGGCCUGCAUUUGAAACUGUUUUUCUUGAGUACUGGAGAGGCAGACGGAAUUCCUGGUGUAGCGGUGAAAUGCGUAGAGAUUAGGAGGAACACCAGUGGCGAAGGCAGUCUGCUAGACAACAACUGACGCUGAGGCGCGAAAGCGUGGGGAGCAAACAGGAUUAGAUACCCGAGUAGUC
This 443-nucleotide ribosomal RNA is filed under the name uncultured bacterium. RNAcentral describes it as "partial 16S ribosomal RNA". It matches the Rfam family "Bacterial small subunit ribosomal RNA", at positions 338 to 795 of the family's 1533-position model. The record is from RNAcentral.